ACUGCUCAGUAACACGUGGAUAACCUGCCCUGCGGUGGGAAAUAACCCCGGGAAACUGGGGAUAAUGUCCCAUAGGCUACGGAUACUGGAAUGUUCUGUAGUUGAAAGAUUUAUCGCCGCAGGAUGGGUCUGCGCCCGAUUAGGUUGUUGUUGGGGUAACGGCCCAACAAGCCCUUGAUCGGUACGGGUUGUGGGAGCAAGAGCCCGGAGAUGGAUUCUGAGACACGAAUCCAGGCCCUACGGGGCGCAGCAGGCGCGAAAACUUUACAAUGCGGGAAACCGUGAUAAGGGAACUCCGAGUGUCCGUAAAUGCGGACUGUCCGUAUGUUUAAAAAGCAUGCGAAGAAAGGGCCGGGCAAGACCGGUGCCAGCCGCCGCGGUAAUACCGGCGGCUCGAGUGGUGGCCACUAUUACUGGGCUUAAAGCGUUCGUAGCUGGGUUGUUAAGUCUCUUGGGAAAUCUACCGGCUUAACCGAUAGGCGUCCAAGGGAUACUGGCAUUCUAGGGACCGGGAGAGGUGAGGGGUACUUCAGGGGGUAGGGGAGUGAAAUCUUUGUAAUCCCUGGGGGACCACCUGUGGCGAAGGCGCCUCACCAGAACGGCUCCGACAGUGAGGGACGAAAGCUGGGGGAGCAAACCGGAUUAGAUACCCGGGUAGUCCCAGCCGUAAACGAUGCGCGUUAGGUGUAUCGAUGACCACGAGUCAUCGAGGUGCCGAAGGGAAACCGUGAAACGCGCCGCCUGGGAAGUACGGUCGCAAGGCUGAAACUUAAAGGAAUUGGCGGGGGAGCAC
Molecule: ribosomal RNA, 793 nt
Filed under: uncultured archaeon
Lineage: Archaea
Description: bacterial SSU rRNA
Rfam family: Archaeal small subunit ribosomal RNA
Source: RNAcentral